GGGCCCGCACAAGCGGUGGAGCAUGUGGUUCAAUUCGACGCAACGCGAAGAACCUUACCUGGGCUCGAACGGGUAGUCAACGGCGGUGGAAACAUCGCUACCCCGCAAGGGGGUCUAUUCGAGGUGCUGCAUGGCUGUCGUCAGCUCGUGUCGUGAGAUGUUGGGUUAAGUCCCGCAACGAGCGCAACCCUUGUCCUGUGUUGCCAUCAUUCAGUUGGGAACUCGCAGGAGACCGCCAGCGAUAAGCUGGAGGAAGGUGGGGAUGACGUCAAGUCCUCAUGGCCUUUAUGUCCAGGGCUACACACGUGCUACAAUGGCCGGUACAAACCGCAGCAAACCCGCGAGGGGGAGCCAAUCGGAAAAAACCGGUCUCAGUUCGGAUUGCAGGCUGCAACUCGCCUGCAUGAAGCUGGAAUCGCUAGUAAUGGCAGAUCAGCACGCUGCCGUGAAUACGUUCCCGGGCCUU
This 466-nucleotide ribosomal RNA is filed under the name uncultured bacterium. RNAcentral's name for it is "bacterial SSU rRNA". It matches the Rfam family "Bacterial small subunit ribosomal RNA", at positions 917 to 1382 of the family's 1533-position model. The record is from RNAcentral.